This 258-nucleotide ribosomal RNA is filed under the name uncultured bacterium. Its description in RNAcentral is "partial 16S ribosomal RNA". It matches the Rfam family "Bacterial small subunit ribosomal RNA", at positions 1242 to 1500 of the family's 1533-position model. The record is from RNAcentral.
GAGCGAGGCAAAGCCGCGAGGCAGAGCGAAUCGCUAAAAGCCGUCCCAGUUCGGAUUGCAGGCUGCAACCCGCCUGCAUGAAGUUGGAAUCGCUAGUAAUCGCGGAUCAGCAUGCCGCGGUGAAUACGUUCCCGGGCCUUGUACACACCGCCCGUCACACCAUGAGAGUCGGGAACACCCGAAGUCCGUAGCCUGACCGCAAGGGGGGCGCGGCCGAAGGUGGGUUCGAUAAUUGGGGUGAAGUCGUAACAAGGUACC